GUGGUCGGUAUCUAUCAACAAAGACCAGUUGCCACUUAGUGUGGAGGAAACCCAGAGCACUCAAAAAGAAAUGCUUCUCAGAGGGAGUAAAAGGAGAAGAGAUGAGCAGAAAGACCAGUCCAGGCUGGAAGGUGCUGACAGCAAAGCGGAGGAGUUUAUGUCUCAGUUGCUUCACAGCCCCCAUCUGAUCUAUUAAAGCUCCCACGACCAUGGGACAGGACAAACUCUGCUGAUACGUUGAUGCAUGAACGUCUGCAUCAGUGCUGAUUAUUCUCCCAGCGACUGGGGAGCAGCUGUGAUGUGCCAGCACACUGUGAAUUUCCAAGAGAGUGUGGAGAGCCCUUCCUCCUGCUGAGAGCCUCUGUAAAAAUAACCUGACCUGCAGGGAUUUACCCAGCAGGCCUUGGGGAAAUGAGCAGAGUCGCCAAUUAUUGCCGUGAGGAUGUCAAGUCUGUGAUUGUACAUCGGCGUAGUUGCUAUUGCUGCAAUCAAGGCAAGACAGAAGGAAAAUUAGGAGGAAAAAACCCUUUCCAUCUACUUCAGCCUCACUGCCCACAUUAGAAAAACAAAAACAAACCAACAAAACCCAGUUAAAGUUAUCCUGGCAUUCUCACAUAACUUAAAUGCUGAUAYUUCUUUCAAAGGUUUGAUCCUUGUGUAGAGUGGAAGAAACAAAAAUAUUCUACUGUUUCUACAGCUCAAGUUGUCUCAUUCUACUUUCCAUACACCUUUAUAAGAGCUAAAAUUGAUUUUAUAUGUGUGGUGUAUUAGAGGAGUAUUUAAUAUGCAGUAUUGCACAAAGAUAUAAACUCUUUUCUGUGAACUUUAAUAAUACUCUUCACAUUAAUAUUUUCAUAUGCAUGCACUGGUAAUUCAUCUGUCUGAUGCAGAGUACAGAACUUGUGCAAUAUCAACAUGAUUGAAUGCUGCCUUUACCAGUAAAUGCAGAGAUUAGGAAGUUACUGGAAAGAAGUCAUGGAAAGUUUAGAGACUGACUUCCAACAGGCUUUGGAAAUGGAAGUUUUUAAUAGGUCAUUCUGUGUUUAAAAGGAAACACUUUUGCACAAAUUUUUGUGCAGGCACAGAUGCUUAAGGAUGUGCCCUGGGUUGUCUGAGAAAUGUCUGCCUGUCUAYGUAGCGAAGAAAGGUAUUUUAUGAGUGCUUGGAGUUCUAAGAUUUAAAAAAUAUUUUUCACAACCCCUGAUACAGACUACAGUACAAUGCAUAAAUAAAACAGCUCUAGUUUAGAGUGCUCACCAAUGUUUAGUUUUCAUUUCUCUGGAGGAUUUUUCAUGAAUGUCUGUGGGUCUACAAUUCUUGAAACUGUUGCCUACUGGCAUGUUAUCAUUUAUUUAUCUUAAAUCAAAUGUGCCAAAUGAAGACCCAGUGGCAUUGCAGCUGCCUACUGAGCAAAAAUGAGGAAUUAUUAGGGAAAGAAUAGAAAAUAAACAAAUUUUAUAUCUCUGUAUAAAUACAUUUUUCAUCAACACUGUUAGUGCCUUGUACUUUUCUGGUGUCACUCCCAUCUCUGAAGGUGUAUGCUGGAAUUUAAAAACUUUAAAGAAAGGAAAUAAAGACGAUUAAAUUUCUUGUGCAUAUGAAAUUGCUAAGUGUUCAGGGAUUUUUUGUUGUAAAGGAGACAAGUUAGAGGGAGAAUUUAAAUAUAUUUAUAUUUAGUAUAUAAGUUUUUAA
Long non-coding RNA from Malurus melanocephalus (red-backed fairy wren), 1692 nucleotides. RefSeq lists it as uncharacterized. The transcript has 4 exons. NCBI's taxonomy places the organism in Eukaryota, Metazoa, Chordata, Aves, Passeriformes, Maluridae. The record is from RefSeq and is a predicted model, not a curated record.